Betta splendens (Siamese fighting fish) is the source of this 506-nucleotide long non-coding RNA. RefSeq lists it as uncharacterized. The record is from RefSeq and is a predicted model, not a curated record. The transcript is spliced from 3 exons. NCBI's taxonomy places the organism in Eukaryota, Metazoa, Chordata, Actinopteri, Anabantiformes, Osphronemidae.
UAAAAACUCCAGCCGCCGCUUACUCACCAAAUUCAGCGGACCCAUUUUCCUGCAGCUCCUGCUCUUUAUAAAUGGCAGCCUGCGCCGUUGCUCGUCUGGACACAGACCUGCUCGGGUUCAAGGUUUACUGGGAGCUGGAGUCUGCUGUCUGCUAAAAUUAGCUUAGCACGCGGCUCAGCUUUCAAUCAGCACAAGAUCCUCAAAAAUCCUCAUCGGUCACCGUAACUGCUGGGAGUGGCGGCGCGUGGACCUGGAAACGGGAAACAGGCCGGCGGCUCCAGUCCGGAGGCCCACUGGCUCGCACCUGGUCGUCAAGGCAACAACCACGGGAGGGAGAGAGUGAAACGGAGAGACGAACGCGGUUCCGCGCAUCAGGAAGUGGCUCAGUGGCUGCGCACGAGGAGCUUCCUGCAGGAAGGAGCCACGGAGUUACCUCCACUGAGCGGCCGAGCCCAGCGGUCACUGCUGCCAUCUGGGUUAGUGAUGAGACAGAGACUCCUGCUGGC